RNAcentral lists this long non-coding RNA (247 nucleotides) under Vulpes vulpes (red fox). RNAcentral describes it as "lncRNA (ENSVVUG00000011039.1)". The record is from RNAcentral. Lineage: Eukaryota; Metazoa; Chordata; Mammalia; Carnivora; Canidae.
GGUGGAAUUGCAAUUGGCCAGCCAAAGGGACCUAGCACUACUUUGUCUAAGAAUUUAUCAUGGAGAGGACCAGCAAAAGAGGUUGUGAAGAAACUACAUGCAUUAUCAUGAGGAGCACUUUGAAUAUCCUAGCCAAUUGAGGGUUACAUCUGCCUGUAAAUUACCCAUGCUUUCUCUCCGCACACAGUCUGCCCACAUCAUCUGUGAAUAAAUAACCAUAAAAAAUAAAUGGAGAGGAAAGACGACA